AACUUAUCUUAAACAGUUGUUUCUAUCAAAAUUCAGAUUAUGAUUUAUUUGUUAUCAAUAAAAUACGAUUCAUUAAAGUUAGAAUGAAGUCUUUCACAAGGUCACAUAAUGAGCAUACAAUCUGGUCUACUAGCUGUAUGAUAAAAUAAUUAUUCUAUCAUGCUUCAAUACAGCUUUAAAACAAUAGGUCUACUUUGCUCAUCCUUUUCAAAUUCUACAAGAUGGGGUCAUAGACAUACCUUCUUCAUGCCAAUCUUCUAUGAGAGUUUUCUUGUGGACUAACUUUGGUCAAUGAAGAUCCCCUUUCUUGUUUGUCUUAAUUUGGAGUUUGAGAGAAGAUGUUAAUUCAUUCAUCAUACAUGUUUCAAACUCACUUUGCAUGAGCUUAGUAAAAUCUUCAUAUAACUCUUCAUUAGUAGAACCAAAAAUGAUGUCAU
Molecule: long non-coding RNA, 437 nt
Filed under: Phoenix dactylifera (date palm)
Lineage: Eukaryota; Viridiplantae; Streptophyta; Magnoliopsida; Arecales; Arecaceae
Description: long non-coding RNA (PDAC_LNC004473)
Source: RNAcentral